UGAUGAUGGUGAAGGAAAUUUCAAAUCAUACCCUUAAAUCUCUCCUAAGUUUGGUAAAGAUUCUCUUCUUCUUUCUGUCUAAAACUCAAGAUCUUGCUUCUCAAACA
This is a non-coding RNA of Capsicum annuum, 107 nucleotides long. Lineage: Eukaryota; Viridiplantae; Streptophyta; Magnoliopsida; Solanales; Solanaceae. The record is from Rfam.